Non-coding RNA from Meleagris gallopavo (turkey), 128 nucleotides. The record is from RefSeq and is a predicted model, not a curated record. Lineage: Eukaryota; Metazoa; Chordata; Aves; Galliformes; Phasianidae.
AGCUGUGGAGUGUCCAGAUGAACUGAAAAAGAGCAAAAGUCACAGAAGACUUGAUUCUCAGCAAAUAUUUAUCUUCCCAGAGGUUCCUUUCCUUCCGCCCUGGAUGGACAGUCCCAGUGUGCAAGAAG